AGUGAACGCUGGCGGUAGGCCUAACACAUGCAAGUCGAACGGCAGCACAGUAAGAGCUUGCUCUUACGGGUGGCGAGUGGCGGACGGGUGAGGAAUACAUCGGAAUCUACUUUUUCGUGGGGGAUAACGUAGGGAAACUUACGCUAAUACCGCAUACGACCUACGGGUGAAAGCAGGGGAUCUUCGGACCUUGCGCGAUUGAAUGAGCCGAUGUCGGAUUAGCUAGUUGGCGGGGUAAAGGCCCACCAAGGCGACGAUCCGUAGCUGGUCUGAGAGGAUGAUCGGCCACACUGGAACUGAGACACGGUCCAGAAUCCUACGGGAGGCAGCAGUGGGGAAUAUUGGACAAUGGGCGCAAGCCUGAUCCAGCCAUACCGCGUGGGUGAAGAAGGCCUUCGGGUUGUAAAGCCCUUUUGUUGGGAAAGAAAAGCAGCAGGUUAAUACCCCGCUGUUCUGACGGUACCCAAAGAAUAAGCACCGGCUAACUUCGUG
Molecule: ribosomal RNA, 492 nt
Filed under: uncultured bacterium
Lineage: Bacteria
Description: partial 16S ribosomal RNA
Rfam family: Bacterial small subunit ribosomal RNA
Source: RNAcentral